GGGGCUAUAGCUCAGUGGUCGAGCACUUGCCUGGUAUGCAUGAGGCACUGGGUUCAUUCCUCAGCACCA
This 69-nucleotide transfer RNA is filed under the name Marmota monax (woodchuck). It matches the Rfam family "tRNA". Rfam says of the family: Transfer RNA (tRNA) molecules are approximately 80 nucleotides in length. Their secondary structure includes four short double-helical elements and three loops (D, anti-codon, and T loops). Lineage: Eukaryota; Metazoa; Chordata; Mammalia; Rodentia; Sciuridae. The record is from Rfam by way of RNAcentral.